Molecule: ribosomal RNA, 471 nt
Filed under: uncultured Rubrobacterales bacterium
Lineage: Bacteria; Bacillati; Actinomycetota; Rubrobacteria; Rubrobacterales
Description: bacterial SSU rRNA
Rfam family: Bacterial small subunit ribosomal RNA
Source: RNAcentral
AGAGUUUGAUCAUGGCUCAGGACGAACGCUGGCGGCGUGCCUAACACAUGCAAGUCGAACGGGUUCCAUCUUGUGGCAACACUUGAGAAGAACUAGUGGCGAACGGGUGAGUAACACGUGAAGAACCUGCCCCGAAGACCGGGAUAAGCCGAGGAAACUUGGUCUAAUACCGGAUACCCCCAUCAGAUCGCAUGUUCAGAUGAGGAAAUGGAUUCCGCUUUGGGAGGGCUUCGCGGCCUAUCAGCUAGUUGGUGAGGUAACGGCUCACCAAGGCAUCGACGGGUAGCUGGUCUGAGAGGACGAUCAGCCACACUGGGACUGAGACACGGCCCAGACUCCUACGGGAGGCAGCAGUGGGGAAUCUUGCGCAAUGGGGGAAACCCUGACGCAGCAACGCCGCGUGCGGGACGAAGGCUCUCGGGUCGUAAACCGCUUUCAGGAGGGAAGAAAAUGACGGUACCUCCAGAAGAG